Molecule: long non-coding RNA, 1485 nt
Organism: Cyprinus carpio carpio
Lineage: Eukaryota; Metazoa; Chordata; Actinopteri; Cypriniformes; Cyprinidae
Source: Ensembl
UUUGCACUUUCAAUUCAUAAAAGAAUACUGAAAAUAAACAUAUUGCUGAUAAUAAAAGGAAAAGUUUCUUUGAUACCAAAUCAGCAAAUCAGAAUCAUUCCUGAAGGAUCAUGUGACACUGAAGACUGGAGUAAUUCAGAUUUGCAUCACAGGAAUAAAUUACAUUUAGAAAUACGCAAAAACAGAAAAUUCAUUCUGAAUGGUAGUAUUCUUUUUACAGUAUUGCAAUAUUUUAAGUAUUUGAUCAAAUAAAUGCAGCCUUGGUGAACAUCGGAGGCUUCUUUCAAAAACACUGAAAAAGCUUGCAGACUGCAGACUUCUGAAAACAGUGCAUGCUUUCAUUGAAAAGAGCAGAGAGCUUGUUGGAGGUCAAGGUUUGGCUGGGUAGCAUGUCUGCUAGAUGUCUGCAGAAAAAAGAAAAAAAAUCAGGCUUUUCCUGAAGGCCAUUCUGAAACAUAAGUGUUGUAACGGAGUACAAUUUUCUGAAAGAAUGCUUUCAGAAACAAUACUUUCAGAAGAACAUACGUUUAAACAAAUUCCACCAGCCACGGCUAUGUGUUUUAUCUUUAAUAAGUCAUAUUUCUACACACAAACAGGAAGUACAUGAUGACAGAAUUGUCACUGUAACAGCAAAAGUUUAGUCUUGAGAAAACUAAUGAAUCACCGUUAACAAGCUGAAUACGGCACCAGAUUUUUGGUGCAGGAAAACAUUUGCUAGAAACAUUUUCUUAUGAAGCUGUGUUGCUUCAGAAUGUGAUUAGUGAACUUGCUCCUUUUUUUAUAAUAAAAUCAUGAAAUAAAAAUAAUCCUUUGACUGUCUUGUCAUUACUGUUCUUUUCUGUUGACUAAUUUUGAGACAAUAGUGUUGUUGACGACAACCAAAAAAGAAAAGUCUCUCUCUCUCUCUCUCUCUCUCUCUCUCUCUCUCUCUGUGUGUGUGUGUGUGUGAUUUAUAAUUUAAUUAUAAUAUAACAUUUAUUUUAUUUUUGACUAAUGGGCACCACUUAAACAUUCACAAUAGGACCAGGAGCAUGUAUGAAAAUAAAUUUAAAUGUUAAAAUUAUUGCGAAGGAAUCUAAUUUAUUCUGCAAAUAUGCUUUUCAUAUUUCAUUAAAAUGAAAGAAUGACUAAUCAUGACAUUAAACUCAAAAUAAGACAUCGUAUCCUUCACACUCCCUGAUUUUGACCUUUAUUUGCUGUGUUGUACUUCAGUUUUAUCAGCAUGCUUUCUAAAGUAAAAACAAUUAGUCCCACACUGUUGCCUUAAAGUGCUCGGUUAGAGAGAGAAAGAUGAGCUCACACUUAUUUAUGAAACAUCUAUUUCCCUGCAGCUGGCAGCAGCGUCUUAUCUGAUUUGUCUUUGAAAAAUCAAAUGGGGUAUUCUGAGCCUCUAGGCUUCCUGAAGUGUGUGUGUGUGUGGGGGGGGGGUGACUACGUACCAGUUUUCAUUUGAGAUAUCAGAAUCAUUGUAAUUAGGGUAAAUUA